This 1270-nucleotide ribosomal RNA is filed under the name human gut metagenome. Its description in RNAcentral is "bacterial LSU rRNA". It matches the Rfam family "Bacterial large subunit ribosomal RNA", at positions 688 to 1979 of the family's 2925-position model. The record is from RNAcentral.
UUUAGCCUUGGUAGCCUUCUGUAGACCCGAAACCGGGUGAUUUAGCCAUGAGCAGGUUGAAGUUGAGGUGAAACUCAAUGGAGGACCGAACCGACCACCGUUGAAAAGUUGGCGGAUGACUUGUGGCUAGCGGAGAAAUUCCAAUCGAACCCGGAGAUAGCUGGUUCUCCCCGAAAUAGCUUUAGGGCUAGCGUCGGAAUGAACCCAUGUGAAGGUAGAGCACUGAAUGUGUGAUGGCCCCAUCCCGGGGUACUGAAUACAAUCAAACUCCGAAUGUCAUGUGGGAUGUCCGGCAGUCAGACUGUGAGUGAUAAGGUCCAUGGUCGAGAGGGAAACAGCCCAGACCGCCAGUUAAGGUCCCAAAAUGCAGGCUAAGUGGAAAAGGAUGUGGGGAUGCCCAGACAACUAGGAGGUUGGCUCAGAAGCAGCCACCCUUUAAAGAGUGCGUAACAGCUCACUAGUCGAGUGACCCUGCGCCGAAAAUGUACCGGGGCUAAGCCUGAUACCGAAACUGCGGAAUCGAAUGAUUGGUAGGGGAGCGUUGUAUACGGGUGGAAGCCGUACCGUGAGGAGCGGUGGACUGUAUAGAAGUGAGAAUGCCGGUGUGAGUAGCGAGAUGUAGGUGAGAAUCCUACACACCGAAAGCCCAAGGAUUCCAGGGGAAGGUUCGUCCGCCCUGGGUAAGUCGGGACCUAACGCGAGGCCGAAAGGCGUAGUGGAUGGAAAGCAGGCGGAGAUUCCUGCACCCGUAUGUGGAGCGAUGGAGUGACGGAGACGGCUAAUGUGACCCUCUUAACGGAUUGAGGGCGAAGCGGGGUAGCGGUCGACCAGGCAAAUCCGGUCGGCAAAACGCGAAGACGUGACAGGGAAGCGAACGCUUUGGCAAGUAGCGAAGCACAUGAGGCCGGCUUCCAAGAAAAGCUUCUAGCAAUGCACAUGCGGCCCGUACCAAAACCGACACAGGUGGGCAGGUAGAGGAUACCAAGGUGAGCGAGAGAACUGUUGCCAAGGAACUCGGCAAAAUGGCUCCGUACGUUCGCAAGAAGGAGCGCUUAUGAAAAUAAGCCGCAGUGAAUAGGCCCAAGCGACUGUUUAACUAAAACACAGCUCUCUGCGAAGUCGCAAGACGAAGUAUAGGGGGUGACACCUGCCCGGUGCCGGAAGGUUAAGAGGAUCUGUCAAUCGCAAGAUGAAGCAGUGAGUUGAAGCCCCGGUGAACGGCGGCCGUAACUAUAACGGUCCUAAGGUAGCGAAAUUCCUUGUCAGGUAA